Molecule: ribosomal RNA, 458 nt
Filed under: Staphylococcus aureus
Lineage: Bacteria; Bacillati; Bacillota; Bacilli; Caryophanales; Staphylococcaceae
Description: partial 23S ribosomal RNA
Rfam family: Bacterial large subunit ribosomal RNA
Source: RNAcentral
CGAAGCGUGCGAUUGGAUUGCACGUCUAAGCAGUAAGGCUGAGUAUUAGGCAAAUCCGGUACUCAUUAAGGCUGAGCUGUGAUGGGGAGAAGACAUUGUGUCUUCGAGUCGUUGAUUUCACACUGCCGAGAAAAGCCUCUAGAUAGAAAAUAGGUGCCCGUACCGCAAACCGACACAGGUAGUCAAGAUGAGAAUUCUAAGGUGAGCGAGCGAACUCUCGUUAAGGAACUCGGCAAAAUGACCCCGUAACUUCGGGAGAAGGGGUGCUCUUUAGGGUUAACGCCCAGAAGAGCCGCAGUGAAUAGGCCCAAGCGACUGUUUAUCAAAAACACAGGUCUCUGCUAAACCGUAAGGUGAUGUAUAGGGGCUGACGCCUGCCCGGUGCUGGAAGGUUAAGAGGAGUGGUUAGCUUCUGCGAAGCUACGAAUCGAAGCCCCAGUAAACGGCGGCCGUAACUA